AUUGAACGCUAGCGGGAUGCCUUACACAUGCAAGUCGAACGCGUGGCGGACGGGUGAGUUAUAUAUCGGAACGUGCCCAGGAGCGGGGGAUAAAUACUAGAAAGAGUUGCUAAUACCGCAAUCUCGUGGAGCGGCCGAUAUCGGAUUAGCUAGUUGGAGGGGUAAAGGCUCACCAAGGCAACGAUCCGUAGCGGGUUUGAGAGGAAGACCAGCCACACUGGGACUGAGACACGGCCCAGACUCCUACGGGAGGCAGCAGUGGGGAAUAUUGGACAAUGGGGGAAACCCUGAUCCAGCCAUCCCGCGUGUAUGAGAAGGCCUUCGGGUUGUAAAGUACUUUUGGCAGAGAAGCGGUAUCUGCAGAAUAAGCACCGGCUAACUCCGUGCCAGCAGCCGCGGUAAUAC
Molecule: ribosomal RNA, 405 nt
Filed under: uncultured bacterium
Lineage: Bacteria
Description: partial 16S ribosomal RNA
Rfam family: Bacterial small subunit ribosomal RNA
Source: RNAcentral